This 29-nucleotide transfer RNA is filed under the name Spiranthes romanzoffiana. RNAcentral describes it as "partial tRNA-Gly". Lineage: Eukaryota; Viridiplantae; Streptophyta; Magnoliopsida; Asparagales; Orchidaceae. The record is from RNAcentral.
GCGGAUAUGGUCAAAUGGUAAAAUUUCUC